UAGGGAAUCUUCCGCAAUGGACGCAAGUCUGACGGAGCAACGCCGCGUGAGUGAAGAAGGAUUUCGGUUCGUAAAACUCUGUUGUUAGAGAAGAACAGCGCAUAGAGUAACUGUUAUGCGUGUGACGGUAUCUAACCAGAAAGCCACGGCUAACUACGUGCCAGCAGCCGCGGUAAUACGUAGGUGGCAAGCGUUGUCCGGAUUUAUUGGGCGUAAAGCGAGCGCAGGCGGUCAAUUAAGUCUGAUGUGAAAGCCCCCGGCUCAACCGGGGAGGGUCAUUGGAAACUGGUUGACUUGAUUGCAGAAGAGGAGAGUGGAAUUCCAUGUGUAGCGGUGAAAUGCGUAGAUAUAUGGGGGAACACCAGUGGCGAAGUCGACUCUCUGGUCUGUAACUGACACUGAGGCUCGAAAGCGUGGGUAGCAAACAGG
RNAcentral lists this ribosomal RNA (429 nucleotides) under Bacteroidota bacterium. RNAcentral's name for it is "Bacteroidetes bacterium partial 16S ribosomal RNA". It matches the Rfam family "Bacterial small subunit ribosomal RNA", at positions 355 to 776 of the family's 1533-position model. Lineage: Bacteria; Pseudomonadati; Bacteroidota. The record is from RNAcentral.